GGAUUUGCGACAUCUGUCACCCCAUUGAUCGCCAGGGUUGAUUCGGCUGAUCUGGUUGGCUAGGCGGGUGUCCCCUUCCUCCCUCAUUGCUCCCAAAGCUGCAUGCUCAGUAGAAGAGGACAACGUCCCAGGUAUAGAAGGAAUGUACCAAGGCUUCCAGUCUUCGGUCCUGGGUAUACAACAGUUCCCCUGCUAGAACCUCCAAACAAUUCCCAGAAAUCCCAGCCAGUUUACAAGCUGUUAGGAUUUCUGGGAGUUGAAGGCCAAAACAUCUGGGGACCC
This 282-nucleotide small nuclear RNA is filed under the name Anolis carolinensis (green anole). RNAcentral describes it as "7SK RNA". It matches the Rfam family "7SK RNA". From Rfam's summary of the family: 7SK was discovered as an abundant small nuclear RNA in the mid-70s but a possible function has only recently been suggested. Lineage: Eukaryota; Metazoa; Chordata; Lepidosauria; Squamata; Anolidae. The record is from Rfam by way of RNAcentral.